This 306-nucleotide unclassified non-coding RNA is filed under the name plant metagenome. RNAcentral's name for it is "partial contains 5.8S ribosomal RNA, internal transcribed spacer 2, and large subunit ribosomal RNA". The stretch from base 1 to 105 matches the Rfam family "5.8S ribosomal RNA", at positions 50 to 154 of the family's 154-position model. The record is from RNAcentral.
GAAAUGCGAUAAGUAAUGUGAAUUGCAGAAUUCAGUGAAUCAUCGAAUCUUUGAACGCACAUUGCGCCCGCCAGUAUUCUGGCGGGCAUGCCUGUCCGAGCGUCAUUUCAACCAUCAAGCCCCCGGGCUUGUGUUGGGGACCUGCGGCUGCCCGCAGGCCCUGAAAACCAGUGGCGGGCUCGCUGUCACACCGAGCGUAGUAGCAAUCACCUCGCUCAGGGCGUGCUGCGGGUUCCGGCCGUUAAACAGCCUUACAAAACCCAAGGUUGACCCCGGAUCAGGUAGGAAGACCCGCUGAACUUAAGC